RNAcentral lists this ribosomal RNA (390 nucleotides) under fungal sp. FCAS41B. RNAcentral describes it as "SSU rRNA". It matches the Rfam family "Eukaryotic small subunit ribosomal RNA", at positions 69 to 461 of the family's 1831-position model. The record is from RNAcentral. Lineage: Eukaryota; Fungi.
GCACUUUAUACUGUGAAACUGCGAAUGGCUCAUUAAAUCAGUUAUCGUUUAUUUGAUAGUACCUUGCUACAUGGAUACCUGUGGUAAUUCUAGAGCUAAUACAUGCUAAAAACCCCGACUUCAGGAAGGGGUGUAUUUAUUAGAUAAAAAACCAACGCCCUUCGGGGCUCCUUGGUGAAUCAUAAUAACUUAACGAAUCGCAUGGCCUUGCGCCGGCGAUGGUUCAUUCAAAUUUCUGCCCUAUCAACUUUCGAUGGUAGGAUAGUGGCCUACCAUGGUGGCAACGGGUAACGGGGAAUUAGGGUUCGAUUCCGGAGAGGGAGCCUGAGAAACGGCUACCACAUCCAAGGAAGGCAGCAGGCGCGCAAAUUACCCAAUCCCGAUACGGGG